Long non-coding RNA from Gossypium raimondii (Peruvian cotton), 531 nucleotides. RefSeq lists it as uncharacterized. The record is from RefSeq and is a predicted model, not a curated record. NCBI's taxonomy places the organism in Eukaryota, Viridiplantae, Streptophyta, Magnoliopsida, Malvales, Malvaceae. The transcript has 2 exons.
AAUGGUACCGUUUGGAUGAAUGAUAUAAAUAAAAAAACCUAAACAAGGUUCAUUCAGUCAGAAAAGAAAAGAAAAAAACAACAAGGGAAUAAACCCUAAACGAUGCCCCUCCCUUCUCCGCCGCCUUGAAAGCCAGAACUCUCCUCUCUCUCGUUCCGAUUCGGACAGAGUAGAGGAUGGCUCCAAUGGCGCGCAAAGGUAUGGGUACGGAGACGCAUGACGUGGCUCGGCGCGUAUGAAGGCAGAGGCUAGCGUGGAGCGGCUCGGAGGCGUGGCUCGUGGGGCCGAGGGAAAACCCUGGUGGCUGCGGCGCUGGAGGCAUUCUGGAAACCCUAGGGGUUUCUGAAAAUUAUUCAAAUCGGGCCAUAGUGUAUUGGGCCUAGGGUUUUGGGUAUGGUUGUAUUUGGGUUUGAUUUUGGGCUAGUAAUUUGGGUUUAGGUUUGGGCCGUGUUGAUUUGGUCUGUACGAUUUUUGGCUUGUAACUAUGGACUGAUAUUAUUUGUAAAUGGACUUUUAAUAUUUUUACUUUUA